This 428-nucleotide ribosomal RNA is filed under the name uncultured bacterium. RNAcentral describes it as "bacterial SSU rRNA". It matches the Rfam family "Bacterial small subunit ribosomal RNA", at positions 29 to 453 of the family's 1533-position model. The record is from RNAcentral.
AACAAACGCUGGCGGCGUGCCUAAUACAUGCAAGUCGAACGGGGAAGCCUUCGGGCGAGUACUAGUGGCGCACGGGUGAGUAACACGUGGGUAAUCUACCUUAAAGUGGGGAAUAACCAGUCGAAAGACUGGCUAAUACCGCAUAAGGCCACAGGAUCUGCGGAUCUAGGGGGUUAAAGGAGCAAAUUCGCUUUUAAGAUGAGCCCGCGCGGGAUUAGCUAGUUGGUGAGGUAACGGCUCACCAAGGCUCUGAUCUCUAGCUGGUCUGAGAGGAUGAUCAGCCACACUGGAACUGAGACACGGUCCAGACUCCUACGGGAGGCAGCAGUAGGGAAUAUUGCGCAAUGGGGGGAAACCCUGACGCAGCGACGCCGCGUGAGUGAUGAAGGACUUCGGUUCGUAAAGCUCUGUCGCAGGGGAAUAAUACU